AGAGGAUGGGCAUGCGGCGCAUUAGCUAGACGGCGGGGUAACGGCCCACCGUGGCGACGAUGCGUAGGGGUUCUGAGAGGAAGGUCCCCCACACUGGUACUGAGACACGGACCAGACUCCUACGGGAGGCAGCAGUGAGGAAUAUUGGUCAAUGGGAGAGAUCCUGAACCAGCCAAGCCGCGUGAGGGAAGACGGCCCUAUGGGUUGUAAACCUCUUUUGUCGGAGAACAAAACCCGGGACGAGUCCCGGACUGCGUGUAUCCGAAGAAAAAGCAUCGGCUAACUCCGUGCCAGCAGCCGCGGUAAUACGGAGGAUGCGAGCGUUAUCCGGAUUUAUUGGGUUUAAAGGGUGCGUAGGCGGUCUGUUAAGUCAGCGGUAAAAUUGCGGGGCUCAACCCCGUCGAGCCGUUGAAACUGGCAGACUUGAGUUGGCGAGAAGUACGCGGAAUGCGCGGUGUAGCGGUGAAAUGCAUAGAUAUCGCGCAGAACUCCGAUUGCGAAGGCAGCGUACCGGCGCCAGACUGACGCUGAGGCACGAAAACGUGGGGAUCGAACAGGAUUAGAUACCCUGGUAGUCCACGCAGUAAACGAUGAAUGCUGGUUGUCCGGGUCGAAUGAGACCUGG
This 625-nucleotide ribosomal RNA is filed under the name uncultured bacterium. RNAcentral describes it as "bacterial SSU rRNA". It matches the Rfam family "Bacterial small subunit ribosomal RNA", at positions 220 to 842 of the family's 1533-position model. The record is from RNAcentral.